Molecule: ribosomal RNA, 765 nt
Filed under: Triticum aestivum (bread wheat)
Lineage: Eukaryota; Viridiplantae; Streptophyta; Magnoliopsida; Poales; Poaceae
Description: partial small subunit ribosomal RNA
Source: RNAcentral
AUGCUGGUGUCCGGGAGAAGACGACUGCUCCUUCUGUACACAAGCUUUGUGGUUCUUUCGCUUCUCACGCUGCCGUCCGAUGGCUCGUCGAAUUCCACGGAGGAACUCAAUCAAAGCCGCAACAAGACCGGGCAUCCUCUCGAGCUGACGCCUAGAACAGCAUUUCAGCUCAAGCUACACGCAUUGUUCCACUGGUCUUCUUUCGGUCUCUUGAUGCCUGUAGGGAUACUGCUGGUCAGAAUGUCGAGCAAAUCAAAAAGCGGCAGAUGCAACAGAGUGCUCUUCUAUUGCCAUGUCAUUUCUCAGAUCGCAGCUGUACUUCUUGCUACUGGCGGCGCGGCUCUGUCCUUGAUGAACUUUGAGAACUCCUUCAGUAACAGUCACCAGAGAGUAGGAUUGGCAUUGUAUGGAUUCAUGUGGCUUCAGCCAAUCAUCGGUUUCUUCAGACCAGAAAGAGGUGUCAAGGGAAGGAGCCUGUGGUUCUUCUUCCACUGGCUUCUCGGCAUCGCAAUUUGCGCCACUGGCAUCGCAAACGUCUACUCUGGCCUCCGCACGUAUCAUGAGAGAACCGCCAAGAGCGUGAGCCUGUGGACCGGCCUCCUUACCGUUGAGAUCUCCUUCCUAGCUUUUUUCUACCUCUUGAUAGAUAGGUGGAGCUAUAUGAUCAAGCAAGGACGUCUCCCGGUCGAACAGCUAAGACCGAACGAUAAUCGCAGGACCUAUCCUACAACUCUUCGGAAAGAGCUGGUUAUGGUGCAAGAGUGA